CCGGCAGCCCAGUAGCCAUGGCGUCUUAUUUUGAUGAGCACGACUGCGAGCCGUUGAACCCUGAGCGUGAGGCCCGCAACAAUAUGUUGCUAGAACUCGCGAGAAGAAUCACUCUUUAAUAGGAUGGACUUUGAGGACCUGGGAUUGGUAGAUUGGGAACACCACCUUCCCCCACCAGCUGCCAAGGCUGUGGUGGAGAGCCUCCCCAGAACAGUCAUCCGUAGCUCCAAGGCUGAGCUCAAGUGUCCCGUGUGUCUUUUGGAAUUUGAGGAGGAGGAGACUGUCAUUGAGAUGCCCUGCCAUCAUCUCUUCCAUUCCAACUGCAUUCUGCCCUGGUUAAGUAAGACAAAUUCCUGCCCUCUGUGCCGCCAUGAGCUGCCCACCGAUGACGACAGUUAUGAAGAGCACAAGAAAGACAAGGCUCGGAGGCAGCAGCAGCAGCACCGCCUGGAGAACCUCCAUGGAGCCAUGUACACGUGAGGCAGCAGCUAGGGCUGAGAGCUCAGCCUCUGUGAUAUCUUCCCUUUGCACUUUGAAUCUUCAUUAAAGGUUUCUUUAACCACCCUGCA
This 569-nucleotide long non-coding RNA is filed under the name Rattus norvegicus (Norway rat). RNAcentral describes it as "long non-coding RNA NONRATT021493". Lineage: Eukaryota; Metazoa; Chordata; Mammalia; Rodentia; Muridae. The record is from RNAcentral.